CAGCCGCCGCGGUAAUACGAGGGGUGCAAGCGUUAUUCGGAUUGAUUGGGUGUAAAGGGUGUGCAGACGGCUUAUUAAGUCACUUGUUAAAUUCUUCGGCCUAACUGAAGGUCUGCAAGUGAUACUGAUGAGCUAGAGGGUGGAAGAGAGAAGUGGAAUUCUCGGAGUAGCGGUAAAAUGCGUAGAUCUCGAGAGGAACACCAAUGGCGAAGGCAGCUUCUUGGUCCAUUCCUGACGUUCAUACACGAAAGCAUGGGGAGCAAACAGGAUUAGAUACCCCCGUAGUCCCUGUCUCUUAUAC
This 301-nucleotide ribosomal RNA is filed under the name uncultured bacterium. RNAcentral describes it as "partial 16S ribosomal RNA". It matches the Rfam family "Bacterial small subunit ribosomal RNA", at positions 509 to 807 of the family's 1533-position model. The record is from RNAcentral.